Molecule: ribosomal RNA, 455 nt
Filed under: uncultured bacterium
Lineage: Bacteria
Description: bacterial SSU rRNA
Rfam family: Bacterial small subunit ribosomal RNA
Source: RNAcentral
CCUGAUCCAGCCAUGCCGCGUGAGUGAUGAAGGCCUUCGGGUUGUAAAGCUCUUUCGCACGCGACGAUGAUGACGGUAGCGUGAGAAGAAGCCCCGGCUAACUUCGUGCCAGCAGCCGCGGUAAUACGAAGGGGGCUAGCGUUGUUCGGAAUUACUGGGCGUAAAGGGCGCGUAGGCGGCUUAUCAAGUCAGGCGUGAAAGCCCCGGGCUUAACCUGGGAACUGCGCUUGAGACUGGUAGGCUAGAGUACCGGAGAGGUGGGUGGAAUUCCCAGUGUAGAGGUGAAAUUCGUAGAUAUUGGGAAGAACACCGGUGGCGAAGGCGGCCCACUGGACGGUAACUGACGCUGAGGCGCGAAAGCGUGGGGAGCAAACAGGAUUAGAUACCCUGGUAGUCCACGCCGUAAACGAUGUCGGCUAGACGUUGGGGCCCUUAGGGUUUCAGUGUCGCAGCUA